Molecule: long non-coding RNA, 342 nt
Filed under: Coturnix japonica (Japanese quail)
Lineage: Eukaryota; Metazoa; Chordata; Aves; Galliformes; Phasianidae
Description: lncRNA (ENSCJPG00005017662.1)
Source: RNAcentral
AGAUGUCUUGAAUUUAAAACAAACAAAAUAGAACAAAAGCCAAAAAAAAUAACACCAUAACUUUCUAUUCUUAUUACAGCAGAUGUAAGGAGGCCCUUCUUGGCUUUGAUUGUGCAAACUCCGUGGCCAUUUGGGCAUUACAUGUCCCAGGUGAAUUGAAAUUGAAGACGUACCUGUCCUUAUACCUCAGAUAGUCUGCUUUCCACAUUGUUGUUCUGCAAAGAUGAUGAAUUCAAGAGACGCUGUAACUCAGUCAGAAGAGGCUGGGAUAUGAAACUCACCAGGUCAUCUUCAGAGUCCAGAUGUAGCGUUGAGAUGAGAGAAUUAAAAUGUCCCUCUGUG